UGAGUUUUCGUCCAUGUCAAUCCAUCAUUUAGCUCUGCUGGGCUUCAAAACCUGGCCCAUCUACUCUGAUCUAUCCUCCUGCGUUUUUCCUGCGCCGUUCACGUUCCCUGAAAUCCUCAAGACGACGGUUUCUUCAGAUGUGUAACGAUGAGAUUGCUGAGUUGAAGCGUUGCAUCUGCUUCUUCACCAACGUCUUGCCCAAGCGCCAGAAGCUUCUCUAUUCCAAAGUCGGCAACAAGCUCUCCGAUGACUCGCUUCUGCUCUCUCAGAUUCCACUCAAGCCCUCUCUUAAGAUGACGCGAUCGGGACUACAGAAGAUGAUUUAAUUGUAUAUCAACUAACAUCUCAGGACAUUGUUGAUGACUUUGAGACGAAGUGGUUGAUGUUAAAGACAAAGAGCUUAAUUCAAUUUUCUGAGUUGAAGGACGGGAGAUGCAAACAAAAGUUCAGAGCAGACUCAUACGAAAUUGGGAAGUUCAGAAAUUUUUUAAAGGUGGGAGAUCACGGGUGUCGAUAGCGAAGGUAUACACAAGACCUUUUUUUAACAAUCUUUUUAUGUGAUGCUUCAUCUUCACCGUUCUUAGGCCACUCUCAUCCAAGGGUUAUUUCGAACAUAUAUUCCCUUGGCAAUCUAAAUUUAUUUAUUUUAAUAUCUUAUCUCAUGUCUUUGAGUUAACCGAACCAGUCUCUCCGUUUGCUGAAGAAGGAUUACGUUUCGUAACCAAACCGAUCUGGUUCGAUUAGCUAACACGAACACACAGCUUCCAGGAAGGUGUUCAUAUAUUUUAGGAAAGAUGGGCACAACUGGAGGAAGAAGAAAGAUGGUAAAACGGUGAAAGAUGGUCACGUAAAGCUCAAGGUUGGAAGCAUUGAUGUGUUACAUUGUUACUAUGCACCUAAAUACUACUUCUAGGACCCAUUUUUACUUUGACAAUGAGGUGGCCGCAAGCCAGAGACUAUUUCAAGAGUUGUCUUCAAAACCCAAGAAAGACACUACCAGUGCGAAGCAGUGCCAUGGUGUAAAGAAGCUCGAAAAGGUUUCACUAGGAGAAUUGAACAACUAUGUUCUGGAGUCACCCCCACAAGCCAUUGAGUUUCUAUGCAAAGCCAAGAUCGCGUCACUGGAAACUAAAAACGGAUGGUGUUACAUCUCCUGUGCUAAAUGCUCCAAGAAGCUCCAGUGAGGAAAUUCUUCGUUCACAUGCCCUACAUGUUUUAAUGUUUUAAUGCCAGUUCUGUUGGAGUUGUCAGGUAUCGUGUUGUGCUGCUGUGGAGGCGGGUGGUGAUAAAUCUCUCUUUGUAGCAUUCGAUUCAGCUAUGACUAAGCUGACAGGAACAUGGCUCAGAGCUACAGGAAUCAGGGCUGCAGAAGUUGCGAAUCCUAUGGACCAUGAUGAUCAAGUCCUAAGAGGCUAUCAACUCCCUCGCUUCUUCCAAAACAUUGUUGGAAAUGCAUAUAUUUUCCAUCUGAAGCUCAAGUCUUUCACUGUUGCUCGGAUCUUCAACCACAAUGAGAGAAUCCAAGGACCUGCUUUUGCACCAAAUACAAGCGGAAACAAUCCUGAUGAUGAUAUGGAUUGAGCAAAAUGUGUUUCUACCAAGUCCCAUGCUGGUGGAUCCUCCACUAAUAGUGGCCCAAAGAAUGGUGAUGGUGCAAACGACCCAUCUGAUGCUGAGGAAACAAUGUCAAAUGUUGAGACCGAGAACACCCUCAUUGAGAAUGUUGCUGGCGUUGACAACGUGACAUCAGGAGGAAACCCAGCCAAGAAGCCCAAAAUUGUAUAGAUUCCUGCAUCAACGUACGAGGAACUACGCCAGUUUUAUCACUUAUGCUUUUUUUCAAUGGCUUUUUGUUUACAAAAAGGACAAUUAAUCCACUUUAAAUUUUAGUUUCUUAUCAUUUCUUCGACUUAUUUAAUAAUAAAUUUGGCCUUUCUUUUAUUCAUGAAA
Raphanus sativus (radish) is the source of this 1950-nucleotide long non-coding RNA. RefSeq lists it as uncharacterized. The transcript is spliced from 10 exons. NCBI's taxonomy places the organism in Eukaryota, Viridiplantae, Streptophyta, Magnoliopsida, Brassicales, Brassicaceae. The record is from RefSeq and is a predicted model, not a curated record.